This 507-nucleotide ribosomal RNA is filed under the name uncultured bacterium. RNAcentral describes it as "bacterial SSU rRNA". It matches the Rfam family "Bacterial small subunit ribosomal RNA", at positions 355 to 860 of the family's 1533-position model. The record is from RNAcentral.
UAGGGAAUAUUGGGCAAUGGCCGAGAGGCUGACCCAGCCAUGCCGCGUGCAGGAAGAAGGCUUUCUGAGUCGUAAACUGCUUUUGAUAGGGAAGAAUAAGCAGCUCGUGAGCUGUGAUGACGGUACCUACAGAAUAAGCACCGGCUAACUCCGUGCCAGCAGCCGCGGUAAUACGGAGGGUGCGAGCGUUGUCCGGAUUUAUUGGGGUUUAAAGGGGUGCGUAGGCGGCUCUUUAAGUCCGGGGUGAAAGCCCGUUGCUCAACAACGGAACUGCCCUGGAUACUGGAGAGCUUGAGUACAGACGAGGUUGGCGGAAUGGACCGAGUAGCGGUGAAAUGCAUAGAUACGGUCCAGAACCCCGAUUGCGAAGGCAGCUGACUAGGCUGUUACUGACGCUGAGGCACGACAGCGUGGGGAGCGAACAGGAUUAGAUACCCUGGUAGUCCACGCCGUAAACGAUGGAUACUCGCUGCGGGCUAAAGAUUGUCCGUGGCUUAGGGAAACCGA